UGUUAUCUUAUGCAGCCCUUAGUGACACUCUACAUUGUCACGCCGUGGAAUAGGGAGGUCUUUUAUCAUUCUACACUCCCUACUAAAUAUGUAAUGCCACCUUCCAUGGUACUCUUCUUUAAAAAUCAUUAAAAGCUAUGGGAUAAAUGUGCACAAGAAACCUAGUAUAUAUGGAAAUACUGUUUGUUUUUUGUAACAAAAGAUCUCCUAAAAUUCGAAAUUAGAUUUCACUUUGAAUUGAUAGAAUAUUUUGCGACCCUGAUCACGCUGUGUCCUUAACGUUUUACGGACUAGUCUGCAAAUAUUGUGUCUUUACUCAAGACGCACUGUCAUUCUGCUUCCACUGCAUCUUCAAGUCACUGGAAUGGCUAAUAAGGAUGACAUCACUGAAAGCCUGCUGGUGAGUAAUAAAAUAGCUACUAGAAUGUGUUUGAAUCUCCAAGAACAACAUGACAUCAGUAUUAGCGUCUGCUAUUUGCUGAACGUGUUAGGGCAAAAGAAUAUUAAUGCAUGAUUAAUAUGAAUGUCAAGGAGACUACAUUGGUAACAUAUGGGAGUUGGUGGAAAUUUAUUUUAUAUUCUCUGAAUGUAAGUAAACACUGUAAACUGUAUGCUAACACUUCGGAAACUUACCUGGGGUAUGUCAGACGCUGGUAACUUUCUCCACUGAAAGCAAGUAAGUAGCUCCUGCAUGGAUCAUCCAUUAGCUCUUCUGAGCUCGGACCAGCAGUACAGGACAAGCUCAAUGGCUGAGAGCAUCAGCCAGUGAGCUAAACACAGCAGCAUCAGACUGACUGCUUCCUGAUAGACCCCAGGUAAGUUGUCACACCUUUCGCAAACAGUUUGACUACUUACACUGUGGGGCUCCAGCGCAUACUUUGUAAUACACAUUACAGUGCGCUCUUGUAACUGACAGCAUACUCAGUUAGAGGGGUUCAGAUGCAGGAUUCCUACAUUUAAUUACAAUUUUUACAACUCACAAAUACAUAUUUGUUAAAUAUAGGGGAUAGGUAAACAUAUUCUGAAUUCAGCAAUACCUGGGUGAGAUUCUCAAUUAUGAAUAAAUUAACUUAUAGCAGCUCUUUAAAUAUUGAUACAAAAAGAUCACUGCUAUGCGAUUACCAAAGCACUUAACUCGAGUUUUUGUGUGAUUAACAGAAACCCAAAAUUUGAAAGUGCACAAAGAACGACUUACUUUCUAGAAAUGCCUCAUCGAUUCAAACAUUAGAACAGGGAUAGUACCUCAAAGGUUAUACAUUUUCUGAAAAAGGAGUCAUCGGUUCUCUUUAGCAUGCCUUCUGGCCAUGAUCUGACACUAUCAAAUAAAACAGAGUCACAGUAGAUUGGUCAGCCCAAUAAAACUGCAAAUUUGAUGUAACAGACCCUAAAGCAGAUGUGCGUAUGUUUAAAAACCUGCUGACACUAUGCCAGUCAAUGUGUACUGCAUACUGAUGUGCAACCUUAAACAAUUCAGUCACAGGUUUUUGGAACUGCAUACAAAUGGUGCUACAUAAAAGGAAAAACAACACAGCUUCUGCCCAAAAUGUUUACAGAUUUAUUUAUUAAGAACCCAAUAUAAAUGCCUCUUUAUGCUUAUAUAUUGCUGUGUGAUGUAAAUAAAAUAGAAGUCAAAAUAAAAAAUACAUAUAAGACAAACCAAGGGGCUACUUAUAGUAUGUAUGCUAAAUAAAAUGGUAAAUAUGGCAAGAUGGCUAAUUUGUGGCUCCACAUAUUUGUCACUUCUGUUUAGACACAAUGAGUUAUGGCUGUUGGAAAACAGUUUCUUGCUUGCACAUAUAAUAGAUGACUACAUCUCCUUGAGUAUGCACCAAAAGAUCAAUGAGCUGCAAGAACCUCCAUAUGCUCCUGUUUUGUACCUGUCAGGAUUACUAGUUGAUCCAGCACGUAGAAUUGUGUCACACAGAUGACUUAUAGGCAACAUAUUACCGGGCCUUAGAAUGGCCGGACUUAACGUACCAAAGAAUAGUCAGGAUACUUGCCGAGGUCAGGGGAUACAGAAAGAGACACAACAAUAAGAGAAAGCCAGAAGUCAGGGAUACCAGAAUACAGGAAAGUCAAAAUCAAAGUCAAAAACCAGAAGAAACUUGAAUCAGGAACGCACUCUCGGACAACCACAAAGGAAACCACGACAGAGCACUGAGCAGGAUGAGAACUGGGCCUAAAUACCCCUCCUCUGGAUCUGAUAGGCUGUAACCGGCCUUUGACCCCAAAGGCAGUUACUAGGUUCCAUUUGCAUAAUUGCUGCUCAGCAUUAACCCUUCUGUGGAUUUGGUUGCUGCUCGGCACAACUUUUCCUGUGUGGACAGUAAAUGCCAUUUACCACAUUUUUAUAAGCGGAUGAAUACGUGACAGUACCAAGAUGGUGGCAUGUAAAAGGAAAACCUUAAGGUAGAUCUUCCUCCUGUUCUCCUAUCUGGACUCACUAUCAUUGCACCGUAAACACUCAUGUUUAUUGUAUGUGAUUUAGUGCAAAGAGUUCCUUUUACAACUCUAGCAGCUGUCACUUUGACAACCUUUAGAUGCACUUUCUGGUGAGCUGGUGAGAUAUGCAUUAAGAUGCCGGACGCUCCUCGCAGAGAUGCAUUGAGGCAAUGCAUUUCUAUGAAGAAUGCGAAUUGGCACAGCACUGUGAUUGCUGCACCUGCACACUGGCCCCUGCCCCCUGCCCCCUGCCCCAUGAUCUCCUAUUGGGAAGCACUGGAUUGGCAGAAAUCAUCAGCAAUGAUGAUCUAAGCCGGGGAGGACUGAUAGGAACGGUGAGACUGACGAGACCAGCGAGACUGGGGUCUAAACAUGAGUUUAGACCCCAGUGCAAAUAUUGAGUUGCAUAUAUCUAAAUAGCGUGUAUAACUAACUGUAAAAGAAAUAUUGAAAGUGAAAAAAUACACAUUUUUGCUUUAAUGAGAACUAAGUGUAUCAAUAAUUCAUGGUUUAUUUUUCCUCAUAAACAUAACAAGCGCACCCAAAGAGUGUCCAUAGAAACACAUACAUAAGGAUGAUAUGUCCAUGCAUUAGGUGGUGUCAGGACAUAUAUGACACACCCCUUGUGCACAUGUAUGUAUACUCCAUAUUAUUUUCACAAGAUUUCCAUGAUGUGGCAAAAUGUUCUACAGUGCAAUUACUCCAGUUAUGCAUUUCCAAUGAAUUGUAAAGGAUGACUACCAGUAGUUUAAAGUCACUCACCAUCUCUUAAAUGCAGAACAUAUGUAGUGCUUACAGAUCAAUGCUGACAGACAGCCCAACACUGGAUAAUUAAAAUGCAUGUGCUACAUUCUGCUGCACAUAAGAAACGGAUUCUAAUCAAGCAGAAUAUUUCAUAUGGAUUUAACUUAUAAAUAAUGGGUUGCUGUCUAGUGUGACAUUCCAUGUUGUGUGUAGUACGAGAGAAGCUAUAAAGACGGUGACAUUGGCUUAGAUAUUAUUUUCUGAUUAGAUUAACAGGUUAUACCAAGCUUCAGAUGACCCAACAUUUUUAAUGUCUUAUACAGAUAAUGCAUUUAAUAAUAAUGAUACAAUAAAUACAUAAACAAAUCAAUUUAAAAAAAAAAAAAACAUGGGAAGGUUUCCAUUUUGCAAACAUUUUCUAUGAAUUUCCCAUGAUGCUAGACCACUGCAGCAAUCAGGAACUAAGGAUAAUCAACCAAUAAGUGCCCUUCAUUUGUGUGAAGCACUGUGAAUCCAUGCAUGCAAACUAAAUUGCAACAGGCUUGGGCAUGCACAGUACCCCCGUGCAUGCUUCCAUUUAAAAUAACGCACUUGCGAGCUGUACGGAACAUGGAAACACUAUCUAUAGUAUUUCUCCGGUUUUCCUCAAACCAUCUUCAGUUUGAAAAGGCCUAAUCAAAGUGCUGCAGUUUUUGUUUGCAACAUUUAUUUAUCUUGGUUUUUUUGCAGCACUUGUGGAUAUCCAGCACAUGUUACCUUUCUAUACAAAACCUUUAUAAUGACCAAGUGCCUGGGAUAUUCAUUUAACAGUCCAUGGGUUUAAAAAAAUAUUAAAAGGGUUAUUUACUAAAGUGAGAAUUCAAAAUUUUAAAUGUAAAAGAACACGCCAAGCACACAAAGCACUUUAGCUUGCUGAAGUUUUUUAUGUGUUAAGUGUGUUUUUAUUUCUUCAAUUUUGCAAAAAGUGUAGAUUUCACUAGAAAAAAGGCACAGUUUAUAAAUGAAUCUAGUUAUACCCCCUAGAUGUCAAUUAGACAACCGGUCCUACUACUUUCCAGCUGUUUAGCUCAGUGGAACUACACUGAAGAGGCAGUAAUUGCCCAGAGUAACUUGCCUUGUAAAGACUUCUCAUCGAGCUCCAUUGGAAAUCUAUGAUUAGACAGCCACAGAAAGUCUGGGCUGGAGAAGAAGGAAAUGGCUUGGUAAAGGCUGCAGACAAUAGAUCUGCAGCUUUUGCAAGCUGUUUUUAGGUAUGCAUCCUAUGUAAGAAAAUCAUAAUUAAAUGCAUGUAUGUUUCUACUAGGUAUAUGCACUAAAUAAUUAUUUGGGGGGGGUCAAAAUAGUCAAACUGGAAAUAAUAUCUACAUUAGCUUUGCUUCCAGUUCAGAUACUCUGGCCUUAAAUUUGAAACUCACUUUGAAUUCUCAUUUUAGUGAAUAACCCUGUUAGUUUAGAGAAGUAGUCACACACAAAGCACAGCGUCCCUUUCCCAUGAUACAUUGAUAAAUUAACUUUCACAAAUCUGUAUUUUUUAUUAUUAUGAGAAUUAACUAGCCUUAACAAGCUUAAAAAAUAUCAAAUUAAUGGAACAAAAAUCUAAUCCGUAUUUAAAUGUUACUCAGAGUUCUCAAAUUUCCUUUUUUUGGAGGGACAGUCCCUCUUUUGGACUCAAAUCCCCCAGUUCCUCUUUUGUAUAUUGUCCUCUAUUAUAGACAUACAGAAUACUUGUUGAUUAUGAAUGUUUGAAAAACUUCAAAGAAACUAAAUUCCCCAAUAUUAUGAACUGUCAUAAGCAUGUUUCUAAAUUACUAUGACUACAUAUAAUCAUCUUCUACCUGUUUUAGAUCAGUUCAUUUCAUGAAAAGCAAUAUCAUAUUGACCAUCACCAUCCAUCAUCUGUCCCUUUCCACGUUUGUCAUUUAAAUGUAUGAAUUUAAGGUAACCUAAGAGUAUCUGUGAAUUUCCCAUUUGACCUGCAGAAGUUAAUGGGCAUAUAAGUUCAUCAAUAUUGAUGGAGCCAGUGGGUGCCUAUGUCUAACAUAGAAACAUAGAAUGUGACGGCAGAUAAGAACCAUUCAGACCAUCUAGUCUUCCCAAUUUUCUAAAUACUUUCAUUAGUCCCUGGCAUUAUCUUAAGCGUAGGAUAGGUUUAUGCCUAUCCCACGCAUGCUUAAACUCCUUCACUGUGUUAACCUCUACCACUUCAGCUGGAAGGCUAUUCCAUGCAUCAACUACCCUCUCAGUAAAGUAAUACUUCCUGAAAUUAUUUUUAAACCUUUGCCCCUCUAAUUUAAGACUAUGUCCUCUUGUUGUGGUAGUUUUUCUUCUUUUAAAUAUGGUCUCCUCCUUUACUGUGUUGAUUCCCUUUAUGUAUUUAAAUGUUUCUAUCAUAUCCCUCCUGUCCAGUUUUUCCUCCAAGCUAUACAUGUUGAGUUCAUUUAACCUUUCCUGGUAAAUUUUAUCCUGUAAUCCAUGAACCAGUUUAGUAGACCUUCACCAGUGUUCAGUUGGGGUCAUGAAAGCAGAAUUCUCAUCUCUAAGCUUAGGCUAAUAGGCUAGAUAACACAAAAUGAGGUGUACACCAGAUAUUUGUUGGAAGCCCCCCAAAAAAAGGCUUAAAGAAAAACAAAAGGCACCAAAACCCUGCAACGUAUAGAAGGUGCAGAUUGGUACAGAGUGGCAAUUGCUGCACAUGCGCACUAAUCUCCCCAAUACUUCUCUAUGAGGAAACAUUGGAUUGACUGACAUCAUAAGGAUUGAUGAACUCUGUCAGCAAAGGUGGGAUGGAUGCAGGGAAACAGCCACUCUGGAGGAGUAAAGGUAAAUAAAACAGUUUCUCUUUUUAUUGAUUUGUGGACCCCUGAAUCUAUUAAGUUAUUAUGAAAACAAUAGUGUCAGGAGUACGUUUUAUACCUAACACUGUAGUGCUCCUUUAAAAAUUGACAGGAUCCACUUCAAUAUCAAUGAAGUAACUUUUUUAUUGGAUCAAUGUCACGCACAGCAACAAAAGAGAUCCUAUUACAGAUAAUGUCAAUAGAAAUAAUAAAUCAACUUUCAAUAACUUUUUGUGCCUGUAAUGGUGAUUAUUUAUUGAAAAUGUGUAGGAGUUGUCACUUUACCUAACAGAGGUUGACGCAUUUCAAUAAUUAAUAGUUCAUCUCCGUAUGGGUCAUGUAUGCACAAUAACAGUAAGAAAAGCACAGCUGCAUGUUAUGUGCCAAGAUACUACCACAUGUUUUAACAGUUGCUGGUAUCCAGGUGUAUUUACACUGUACUCUCAAAGAAUGGACUGAGCAGAAACCAGGAAAAAUAGUGUGACUCUAUCCAAUGGCUGGAACCAAAUAUAGGUGCGUUACAAAAAAAAUGACAGAUAUCCUCCUAUAAUAUCUAGAGGAGAUAUCUAUUGUAUAUUAUAAAGGUAACAUUGAGUUUACCAAUUAAGUGUUCGUCAACUGUCUUUUAUUACUACUUGCACCUAUUUCUGAUGCAAUCUUGGAGAGCUUCCAUCUGAUCUUCUUUUAAGGAAAUCAUUUAAUCACAACAUUUUCUGGAGAUAUCACCUGCACGGUGUAAAGUUAUGCAUACUUUGUUAAAAGAUGAGUCUAUCAGCCAUUCUAUUUUAUGGCUGACAGAGUCCCUUUAACAUGUACUUUAAAUGAAGUUGGCCAUCAUCAUCACAAUAUUUAAAGAUAUAUUUAUGAAAACACCAACAAACUACGUGGCAUUACCCAUGUGAAAUCACACAUACAACUCGGAAUUCAAAUGAAUAAAGGUUUGACUCUCUUACCUAAAUAUCAAUGGCGAGUUGUAGUGAAUAUUCUUCAUGGUCGGUGCUAGAUGACAAAACACAGCAGACGGAAAAGAAACAGAAGUUCGAACAAGUGUUUUUGGCUCUGAAGAAGAAGAAGCUGCUCAGACACCCUCGCAGCAGACAGAGGAUGACUGUACUACAAUGCCAAAUGCCAAAUUGGUGAAAGUAAAACUCAUGUGUGAUGAGGGGAAGUGAAGUAGUUUCCACGGUAUAAUCAACAUGAAACUGCUAGUAAUAACCCAUGGUUUUUUUUCAUUCUCCGUAAAUUAUCUUUUUUUUUUUUUUAUUGUUUUUUUACUAUUUUGAAAGUAGCCACACUUGGAACCAAAUAUUGCCAUCAACCACUGAUAUUUCAGGCACUUCUCAGAAAGGUUAAAGGGACAUCAUAAGCAGAGCAUGGAGGCUAACCAUGCAGCCUCAGAAGUGUAAACAUUGCCUUUUCUGCUUAUCUACACAACUAAUGGCUGUCACUCAAACAGUCACUAGAGGUACUGAAAUUGUUGCAGGAGUGACGGUCAACAUCUCCAUGUAGAUGCUGGACACUCCCCAUAAAGAUGCAUUGUGUCAAUGUAUCCCUGAUUGGUGCAGCGAGUCAAUUGCUGCACAUGUGCCCAGUCCCCCAGUGCUUCCCUAUAAGAAAGCACGGAAUUGGCUGAGAUUAUCAGUAUUGAUGAUCUCAGCCCGAGGGGAAGCAGCAGCUGCAAUCACACAGACAAAUCGUGGUAAAACAUGUAAACAAAAUGCCGUGCAUCACUUCCUCCCACCGGAAAUCCGAGCCGUGCGGAGGAGGAAGGCAGGGAAACCACCAGUGGACCCCAGGGAAUCCACCCUGAAGAAAAAGGUAAGAACCUGGAAGGUGGCUAAAUGUAGCAUGUGUGUCAGUAUGUUUUAACAAAUUUAACUCUAUUGUAUGACUUUUAUAUGAAUCACUAUACAGUGGGACCUCGGUUUACAAAUUUAAUGCAUUCUCCGGGACGUUUCUUAUUGCGAAAAAUUUGUAAACCGAAACACGGGUCCAAUAGGAAUGCAUUGAAAACCAAUUACCGUAUAUACCCGUGUAUAAGUAGAGAAAUUUUACCUGCAAACUUGUUAUAUUGCAGGCUCGACUUAUACACGGGUGUGAGGGGGAAUGGCCGCAUCAUAGUGGUGCAGCUGGACCAGGCGGCCGGCUAGCCGGUCCAGCGGCAUACUCACUUUCGUGCUUUCUGACUGUGCAGCUGUCAGAAAGCACGAACUGGAGGAGGGCGGCGGCGGCAUAAUCACUGUAGCGAGAGGGAGGGAGGGGGACGGGACAUUGAUGUCCGUGGGACCGGCGGGAGCACAUAAAACCACUCUCCCGCCGGUCAAUCUCUCUUACCCCUCCAGAUGCGCCGGCCAAAUGAGGGGAUGUGAGCUGCGGCCAAUCAGCUCACAUUAUGUUAAGGGCUGCUGGGAUACAUGAUAUCAUAUCCUAGCGGCCAAGUGUUGAAAAUAGAGAAGGCUGGCCACUGGUACACACUUGUUUAAUUUAUUAAAAGUGUUUAUAAUCUAGUGGGUUUCUGUCAGUGUAUAUGUUAGAGACACACAAAAGGGAGGGGAAGAGAGACACACAGUGGAUAGGGGAUAAUGAAACAGGGGCAAGAGAGAGACACAGGGGGAGGGAAAAAGAGGCAGAGGGGGAAGAUAGAGACUGGGAAGAAAAGGGGAGAAAUGGACACAUAGGAGCAGUGAGGGGGAGAAAGAAACAUACCGGUACACCAUAUAAGGGAACUUGAUUGACUAUUUACUCUUGUUUGUCAAAUGAUUAUUAAGAUUACAUUAAUAAUAACAGAAUAAUAUUUUCGGUAAAUUCUUAUCUUCAGAAAAAUGAGUUUUGCAAAGAAAAUGAGAGCUUCUUACACUGCUGCGCUUAAAUUGAAAGUUAUUGUACGUGCAAAGGAAGCCAAUAAUAGCGUAGCUGCAAGAGAGUUUAGCAUCAGCGAAAAACUCGUAUGAGAUUGGAGAAAAAAAUGAGGCUAAAUUGCAAGCCAUGCCGAAGUUGAAGAAAGCAUUUUGUUUCAAAGCUACACCUUUUGAUGGAAUGGAAAAGGAUUUGAAUGACUGGAUAAUGGAAUGUAGACAAAAUGGAUAUGUUGUGACUCGCUCAAGCAUUCGACUACGAGCACUUCAGAUGGUAAAAGAAAAAUAUUUGGCGACUGAAGCUAUGGCACAAUUUAGAGCAUCGUCUGGUUGGUGCACACGAUUCAUGAACCGGUAUGGAUUGUGUCUUUGUCAGCGAACAAAGAUCGCUCAGAAGCUGCCUAAAGAACUGGACGAAAAGGUCAUGUCAUUCCACAAUUUAAUUAUCAAACAGAGAAAAAAGAAUGGUUUCGUUCUAAAUAACACUGGUAAUAUGGACGAAACUCCAAUGACAUUUGAUAUGCCUGGCAAUCGAACUGUAGCAAGCGUUGGAGAAAAAACUGUACUUAUAAAAACAACCGGUCAUUAAAAGUCACAUUUCACUGUUGUACUGUCUUGCCUGCCAGGUGGCACUAAACUGCGCCCGGUAAUAAUAUUCAAGAGGAAAACAAUGCCAAAGAACUUAAAAAUUCUGGCAGGAGUAACUGUUCGUGUUCACCCUAAAGGUUGGAUGCAUGAGGAGGGUACAAAGUUGUGGCUGUGCAAUGUGUGGGGAAGGCGACCAGGCGCAGCGCUAAGAAAAUGUCUGUCGUUAUUGGUGUGGGAUAUGUUCCGUGCGCAUAUAACAGAGGAUGUGAAGGACGAAGCAAAGAAAAUGGCAACCACGUUAGCAGUGAUUCCAGGCGGCCUAACAUCAAUGCUCCAGCCAUUGGAUGUCUGUCUCAACAAGCCUUUCAAGGACCGAAUGCGCAAUAUGUGGUCAAGCAAAGUUAACGAAAGGAGGAAACUUGAUGAAACCAGACAUUGAUUUGAUAACGAAAUGGGUAAAGGAUGCUUGGGAUUCAAUAUCACCAGAAAUGAUGAAGAAGUCGUUCCUGAAAUGUGGAAUUAGUAAUGCUAUGGAUGGAUCAGAGGACGAUGCCAUCUAUGAAGAGAAAGAUGAAUCGGCUUCAUAUUACCAAUUCAACAGAUGACGACAGCGAAGACGACGUUUACGCUGAUGGCAUCACCGAAGAACAAUGUCGUGAUUUAUUCGGACAUUCUGACGAUGACGAGUGAGAGUUGGAAGGAUUUGUAUAGGCCAAACAAUGUUUGUGCUAUUUUGGAGGGCAUAAAUAAAAAUUCCCUGUAAUAAGUUUAAGGAAUUCGUUACAGUUAAUAAAUUAAAUGUUCAUGUUCAUGAUUGCUGAUUUUUUAAAAUCCAGUUUUUAGCUGACAUGUUUGAUUGUUCCAGGAUCUUACCUAGGUAAAAUCUGACAAAAUUAUAUAUAUAAAAAAAAAAAAAAAAAAAUCACAGAAUUUCAUAGCCCCACAUUUUACCCUCGACUUAUUCACGAGUCAUAGCAUAUUUCACAAUUGUUGGUCACAAAACUGCACUCGACUUAUACACGAGAUCGACUUAUACACGAGUAUAUACGGUAAUCCGUUCUGGACCUCAGAAAAAAGUCAAAAUGAGCUGGCAUGGAAACCAACCCACAAUGCAGAACACACAAUAAAAGGCAUGUAGACGAAAAUGCUCAGCUCCCUACCUUUCCACAGCUUGAGAAAUGCACCAAAAAGUCCCAAAACAACUGCAAACAAUUUCCAGAAUGGCUCCAAAACUCGAUGCAAAAGCCGCUCCAACACAUCCACACUCGACGCCACAUGCUACCCACAGGCUCCAGCAUGCAGGGGCGGUGCUAUAAACCUCCCAGGUGCAAUGCAUCCUGGGGAAACUUGCUUUGUAUUGCAAAAUAAAUUUGUAAACCGAGGCAUUAUUUUCAAUGGAUUUUCAUUUGUAAACCGACAAUUGGGUUAACCGAGGCCUUUGUAAACCGAGGUCCCACUGUAUUUUACUAAAGCCAUCCAUCUGCAAAAGUAGCUUUGAAAUGGAGAUUUGUCGAAAGGGCUCUUCUUCUGAAAAGCCUUUGAUUGAACGAUGCAAAGCACUGACAACCAUGCAAGUCCUGGGCAAAAAGGGUCUGGAUCUUCAUUAGCAGCACAGGCCAGUUCUGCAGCUAAUGAAAGGUAAGGUUUUUUUUUUUUUUUUUUACUAAGGAAAUACUUCAGAAAAUUUGAAUAAGUUGUUGUUGUUUUUUUUUUUUUUUACAUAGAUUAAAUAUUUUUUUUUUACAAAUGUUUAAAUAUUUUUACAAAUGUUUUAUACAUUUCUCCCUUUAAUUAUUUGAUUAACAUGUGUUACCAUUUAUUUGAAGUAACUUUUCUAGUGAUAUCAGGACUGGUGUGAAUAUUGUUAAAGUUCACAGUUUUAUUCCAAUAAUGAAGGAAAGCAAUACUGAUAACUGAAAUAAAAAAAAAUAGGUAAUUGAAUAGGUAAUUGAAAUCAAUAAUUAGCUAAAUUAAAAAUGUAAUUGGAAAUAUAAGUUGUGAAUACAGUCUAGUCAAGUUAAAAGUUUUCCAAAUCCUCUAUUACUGCAUAAUUUGGGAAUUAAGUUAAUCAACUUAUUACAAUUUAUUUCAUGAAUUAAUUCCAUAAAUAUUUUCCUUUGGUAUAUCGAGAGAUAGAGAUGGAGCCAAUAAACUGGUUGCAAAAUAACAAACAAAAAUUCCAUUCAUGAAAAUAUACUGUAAAGUAGAUGUGUCUAAGGAAAAAUACAACAAAAAUAUACUAGCCAAGUAUGCAAUUACAAGCUAUAUCAAUAUAUGGUUUGUUUUACCCAUUACAUUUGGUUAAUAACUUCUGGAUGUGUACGUGUGUUACUAUAUUUCAUAUAUGUGAUACGUACAACAUUAAUUUUCUUUUUAUAGCCACGUUUGGAAGUGCACAAUAGAAUGUGUCUGCAGGGAAAUUUAUUUUUAAUUGGUUUGUAUUUUCUUACAAUUAUAUCUCUGUCUUAGAGUAUACAUGCAAAUAUAUCCUCAUUAUAUAGAGCAUUUUUUAAAUUAUUCCCACUGCAUCACUUUGCAAUUUGCUGUAGGUAUAUAUAUUUUGUAAUGACAGUAUAGAGAUAGCUAUAGACUGUCAGCUCGUUUAAGCAGGGUCCUCUUCAACCUAUCGUUCUUGUAAGUUUUCUUGUAAUUGUCCUAUUUAUAGUUAAAUAAAUCAAACUGUAGCAAAGGUCAAAUGUUUAUAAAUAUCUUAUAAUAUUGUAAAGAGCUAGGGAAUCUGUUGGCGCUAUAUAAAUGGCGAUAAUAAUAAUAAUAUCCAGAAAGGAUCAUUCAACACCUAUUGAAUGGUGUUUUUACACAUAUUAGAUAUCUGAACUAGCUUUUUUAAACAUUAUUUAACAUUAUUAUAUUAAUCCAGUGCAUACUUUAUAUGUAGUCACAUAUAUCUAGAGUUUCCACAUGAUUACAUUUUUUAUUUCUCGUUAUAUUUACAAAGGUGCUGAUAUAGCACAUUGUAUAAUUAUGUAUAAUUUUGCAGUUCAUUGUACAAGACCUGCAUACAUUUAUUCUUGCUUAUAAGGAAAAAGUGCGUGGAAGUUUUAAAAAAAUAUAUAUGGUAUCACAAUGAUUAGAGAUCUAACCAUGGUUGUUGCCUCUCAAUCUAUACUUCUUCCCAUACAUAAAAAUAAAACAAAAAUAUGUAAAGGUUUAGCAAGGUGAAGUUUAAAUUCCAAAUAUUAAAAAUUAAACAGAACCAGAUUAAAUAAAUAUGUAACACAAUGUGAACAUAAUACGUUUCGUUAACACAUUUAUCAAUCAUUCACUAUUUUUCAAAUUUUAAAUUUCGUAACAAUGACUUCAGUAUAGUAAGGGCUUGCAUAUAAAAUUAAUUACAUAUACUGUAUUUUAUAAUAAUAUUUAUAUCAUUUUACGUUUACCUUGGAAUUUUCUUUGUUUGCUGCUAUGGGGUCCAGGAGUUUAUGGGAUAUAUAUUUUACUGCUAACUAAUGGUUUCAUUAUAUAACAUGAAUGGAAUUACAGCCCAAGCUGCAGUAUUUUUACUGGCUCGCCAAAUAACUUAAUUCAUACUUUUUCAGAUGAAAGUAAGUAAGGGCUUGUUUGACAGACACACAGUGGAAGUACUUGUAUGGGCAGGUAGAAUCAUAACUUUCCCUUCUAACAUUGACUUUACGAGGUGGGCUUAUAGCUGUAGCAAUUUGUGCUACAUUGUGCAAACAUUGUUAUUAUAAGUAACAAUUAUAAUAUGUUCAAGUCUUUAUGCUGUCUAGUGUGUCUCUUUAAAAAACGUAUAACUCCCCUGAGCCUUGAAAACUCAGCAAAAGGCUACCAUAGGUUUAUGGGAGUUUACCAAUAGAUGGUGACCUGUUACUUUCAGGACUGGCUUGUCUGUAACAUAACGUGUUGCUGCAUAAGAUACAUGUCAGUGACAGAAAACCAGCUUGCGAACAUUGUCUGUCACACUUGAGAUUUAUUGGAGAGUCGGUUGCAGAAAAUGCAAUGUAAUUCAGUGGGGUGAGAACAACAGACAAGCACUCAUCUGAAGCAUCUUGCUGGGGUGUGAUGGAAUUGAUGGAACUGUCUUCCUGUAGCAAUGAUUGUACAUUGUACAGCACUGCGGAAUUUGUUGGCGCUUUAUAAAUAAUAAUAAUAAUAGAAGCAGUAGCAGAAUACUACAUUUCCCAUGAUGCCGAGCCAUUUUGCCAAAUUAUAGAUUUUCCUAUCCUAAUCUGUGCCUUGUUACUAAAGAGUCGAUGGAGAUAAAGGAAGAAAAUGCCUUAACAUGACAUAUUAAGCCAUUUAUUUAAUUAGUUAUUUCCCCCCACCCCAAAAAAUAGCAAUAACAAAAAAACAACAACUUUAUUGACUACAAAACAAUAUGACUUUUCUUAGUUUAACAUUAAAAUCUAAUGAUUAAAACUGCAUUUGUUUAUUAAAUUCUACCACUGUUCUGCCAAAGAGAGAGGAAGAGGAUACAAAAUGCCAUUGAGGCGUUCGGAAGACAUCAUAAUAAACCACAAGACCAAAGGUCAAAUGUUUAGAAAUAUCACCAGAACCCUGAGAUGACAUUAUUUCUCCCUAAUACACUCUUGUCUGUUAAGUAUCGUUUGACUUACUUUUAGUUACUAGCAGUGUGUUAAGGUAGUGUAGGGGUUAAUAUGAGAGUAGUAUGUUAAGGUAAUGAGGUUAGUGUACUGAAGUGAUUAAUGUUCAGUGUCAAGGUACUAUAGGGAUUAAAUUGCAGAGAAGGGUGUUAGGGCAGUGAAGGGGUUAACUUUAGUUCACUGAAGUGAUUAAUGUUCAGUGUUAGGGUAGUGUUGGCGUUAAAGUCAGUGUUAAGUUACUGUAGGGUGUUAAGGUCGUGCAGGGUUUACUGUUAGUGUGCUGUAGUGAUUAAUGUUCAGUGGUGUAAGGGUAGUGUAGGGGUUAAAGUCAGCGUUAUGGUAAGGGUUAGUUUUAGUGUAGUGUAAUGAAGGGGUUAAUUGUUAGUGUACUGAAGUGAUUAAUGUUCAGUGUUAGAGUAGUGUUGGGGUUAAAGUCAGUGUUAUGGUAAGGGUUACUUUUAGUGUACUAACGUGAUUAAAGUUCAGUGUUAAGGUACUAUAGGGAUUAAAUAGCAGAGUAGGGUGUUAGGAUAGUGAAGGGAUUAAUGUUAGUGUACUGAUGUGAUUAAUGUUCUUUGUCAAGGUACUAUAGGGAAUAAAUAGCAGAGUAGGGUGUUAGGGCAGUGAAGGGGUUAACUUUAGUUCACUGAAGUGAUUAAUGUUCAGUGUUAGGGUAGUGUUGGCGUUAAAGUCAGUGUUAAGUUACUGUAGGGUGUUAAGGUCGUGCAGGGUUUACUGUUAGUGUGCUGUAGUGAUUAAUGUUCAGUGGUGUAAGGGUAGUGUAGGGGUUAAAUUGCAUCAUUACCUUCUCAUGGGGAAUAAUUGCAUACAUCACACAAUGCGUACAGUAUGGGAUUCUAAGACACGAUCUGUCCGAUGAAAUAUACACACAUGUAAUAAAUAUUGCAUUAUUACAUUUUUUUUCACUGUAAUAUUUCUGUUUACUGAAUGAGGAGAGUGGGCAGGAACAUGGAUUUAAAACAUCUCUCACUCAGAUAAAUUAGUUUCUUAGCAAUACUUUCCUAUUAUCAACAAAAGCCGAUUACUAAUUAGUAUGUAAUAACUCCCUGCAAUGUAAGGAGGAUUGAUGUUUGCAUGUUAUCAAUUUAAAUAGAACUGAAAUUCAGCCUACAGAGGGGGAAAAAAAAUCUCAAAAGGCUAUCUAUAGCUACAUUAGUAUUCCUAGCACAUUUAACCAUGCUACAUUUGUGUACCAGUACAUGCAAUACAUACGGGGGAGGGUUACAGUGCUGUACAUUUCAGCUGGCUUAGAUUUACUGAACAUUUUGUGUCAUACUGCCAGCUCAGCUAGAAUUAAAAAUAAGUUGAUUAUUAGAAAUUCAACCAGUGUAAAGACUUUUCUUUGUAUGGCUCAAAGAACAAAACAAACAAACAUGUUAAGUAAGGCAACAUGUAUAUGGCUGCUUAGCAUGGUUAUGUUCAGAAACAAAAGAAUAGGCUGAAAUGGUUGCGUCAUCAUGAGUAUCUGUUCCAUAGGAGACCUUGCUGUGCCAUGGAAUGUCCUCAUUUAGAAUCAGGACUCUGUAAUGCUGCUCAUUGUGAAUAAGCAGAUUCCAUGACAGUGGCAAAUCCGAAGGGAGAAAACCGGGACAGAUGAUCCCCAGAUAAGCCAAAGGCAUUUAUGUUGAAUGAUGCAUGUUUGUAGGUUUGGGUGGUUUUAUUCAAAGCUAUAUGUUAAUUCUUAUGGCCAAUAUGAAUAUGAAUUCAUCUCCAUGCCAUGCGGACAUACGGUGUUAAAGGAGAACUCUAAACAUCAUAACCUUUACAGCAACAUCAGGAGUCCCCUGACAUACUCUCACAGCAAAGGGUUUUUGAAUGGUUUGAAAUUUACCUGAAACCCUUUAGAGCCUAAAGUUCCAUUUCAUUUAAUAAUAUUAAAUUAGUUCAAUGUAUGCAUCUCCCGACACUCCCAGUCAAUGAAUUAAAGAGACACUAUAGCCACCAUGACCACUUUACAUUACAUAACUGAUUAUAGGAACCAUGGCUGUAGUUCUAUGUUUGACUCAUUUGCCAGAAGGACAUAAAAGAGGGAAUCUUAACCAGUUUGCCUUACAUUUUCUACAUCACUCACUUAAGAAAAAUAAUGGUACAGGUGCAAGAAGAUCUGUGUAGGAGUGGAAUCUUCCAUAGGUCAAAGUAUGGUACUCUAGUUCAAUUUGGGCGCAAUUAAACAGCACAGAAUGAAAGGGAAAAUACACAAUAGAUAGUGCUCUUAAUUGACUCAGUAGAAACUAUAUAGUUACAAAAGUAGAUGACUAUUGUAAACAUGGGGGAGGGGUUAAAAAAGCUAGACGUGCUAUUUUGCGUGGAAAGUGCUAUACAACAUGUGAAACUUUGCAAUACAUUCUAUUGGUUUCCAAGGUGACUUGGCACUUUUAUCAGAAUGGCAUCUGUUCUGUCCCCUUAGUUUUGCUUUUAAAAUUAAAAACAAAUGGACAAACUAAAACAAUGCAUUUUAUACCCAAGUUUAUUAUUCCUCUUGCAAACUUCAUAUGGAAGCUUUUGUCAUGACACUGCCUAUAGUGAUGCAUAAACCAGGAGAAAAUAAAUCUCAUUUAUAUUCUGAUCAAAACAACACCGUCAAGCAAAGUUAUCACAUGUUAAAGAAAAUAACUGGAAUUUUCAAUAUUACUAAUUCUAUGUCAUCUGUGAUCUACUGGAGUAGUAACACAUUAUAAAACAUGAUUAGGACAUAAAACAUAUACUAGUAGUUGUGCCUUUCUAGAAUUUCAUCAUCUUCAUCUCCCUGCAUACAGCAAAAAUAGGGACAUUUCCAUAACAAACAAAUACACUAGCUUACAAUGCUUAAAAUGGUGUUCUGUUUUUUCCCCUUUAUAAUGCAGUUCAAAACAACAGUUCAAAUAAAGAAAUGAUUUUUCUUGUAAUAAAGUUAUAGAAACCUUUUCUGGAAUUACCUUUCUAAUAUCUUCCAGUUGUUUCGUUAUGUAGGAGGCCAUUUUAAAUUAGAUCACAAUACUUAAACUCUCAAGAAGAUAAAAAAAGACGAAAUAGAACAUGUGAUGUCAGCAGCCAAUCACAUUUUGUCAUCUAAGCUUCCUAAUGCGCUUGAAACAAGAAAUUGUCCUUUCUGUUAAUUCUCUAAUGAUACACUGUAUCCAGGCUUAAUUCUGAGAAACUUAAUUGAUUUGUAUUAAACAAACGCUAAACCGAAUGCACAUCGUCAACACAAGAAAACAGAUUGAUUUGAAAUGUUGACGCAUGGUCUAUUUAUGAUCACAGAGCCUCUUUAAUCAAAAAUUCUGAAGAGAACGUGCCUACAUUUUCUAAAUAACAGAUUUGAUAUGCACAAGCCACAUACUGUGACAUUCCUGAUCAUUGUACGUUCCAUCAAAAUGCCCCAUGUUUUGCUGGACCAUCCUUAACAAAGGUAUUCCCUAUCCUGUCUUUGUAUUUAUAAAUCCAAUACAGACCAUGAAAGGGUUAACUGACUCUGGCAAAGAGCAACCAGUUCACUCAACAGAAAAAAAAAAAGUUGUAUCUUAUGGUUAAUUUAAACAUAUAAGGACAGUACAACUGCUGAACAUUCCAUAACUAUCUACAAGCAUAUGUAGUGUAGUGAAACAUUGUUUCAUUCAGGCUAUAAGGCCCUCUGUUUGUUAAUUCAGCUUUUGUAGCAACCUAAAUAUAUCAUUAAAAAUGUUUCAUUAACAAUUAUUCAUUACUAAAUAGCAUUGCUAUCAUAACUGUAAUAUAGUACUACUUGUUUCCAACACUCACUCAGUCUGUUUGCUGGGGCACAAUUAAAAUAGCCUACAUAUCAUCAGUUAAACAUGAAGGUAUGUCGGAUGCGUACAUAUAGUAUUCCAUGAUAUCAAUGCUCACUUGUCUCCUGGUUUGUUCCCAUAUUCUUGGCAGUGGUACCACCUUGUUUAUCCUUUUGCUAGAUUUCGAAUCUCCUUCCCUGUUGUGUUAUUAUAUGACCUCUGACUGUUUAUUUGUUAACCCUAUCCUAAUCCUGUUUGUCUUCUUGCAGAUCUGAUUGGCAAUGUUUAUUAUCUUGAUUAAACUCUCGCUGCCUUGAACCUGAAUUGUCCUUUGCUAUUGUAACUCUAAGAAGC
This is a non-coding RNA of Pelobates cultripes (western spadefoot toad), 18146 nucleotides long. Lineage: Eukaryota; Metazoa; Chordata; Amphibia; Anura; Pelobatidae. The record is from the annotation of a GenBank genome assembly.